AUUGAACGCUGGAGGCAUGCCUUAAACAUGCAAGUCGAACGGUAACAGGUCUUAGGAUGCUGACGAGUGGCGAACGGGUGAGUAAUACAUCGGAACGUGCCUAGUAGUGGGGGAUAACUACUCGAAAGAGUGGCUAAUACCGCAUGAGAUCUACGGAGGAAAGCAGGGGAUCGCAAGACGUUGUGCUACUAGAGCGGCCGAUGGCAGCUUAGGUAGUAGGUGGGAUAAAAGCUUACCAAGCCGACGAUCUGUAGCUGGUCUGAGAGGACGAUCAGACACACUUGGAGUGAGAAACAGACCAGAAUCCUACGGGAGGCAGCAGUGGGGAAUGUUGGACAAUGGCCGAAAGCCUGAUCCAGCAAUGCCGAGUGCAGGAUGAAGGCCUUCGGGUUGUAAACAGCUUUUGUACGGAACGAAAAGCCCUGGAUUAAUACCCUGGGGUCAUGACGGUACCGUAAGAAUAAGCGCCUGCUAUCUACGUGCCAGCCGCCGCAGUAA
RNAcentral lists this ribosomal RNA (498 nucleotides) under uncultured bacterium. RNAcentral's name for it is "partial 16S ribosomal RNA". It matches the Rfam family "Bacterial small subunit ribosomal RNA", at positions 30 to 523 of the family's 1533-position model. The record is from RNAcentral.